Molecule: unclassified non-coding RNA, 335 nt
Filed under: soil metagenome
Description: partial contains 5.8S ribosomal RNA, internal transcribed spacer 2, and large subunit ribosomal RNA
Rfam family: 5.8S ribosomal RNA (bases 1-120)
Source: RNAcentral
GAUGAAGAACGUAGCGAAAUGCGAUAAGUAAUGUGAAUUGCAGAAUUCAGUGAAUCAUCGAAUCUUUGAACGCACAUUGCGCCCGCCAGUAUUCUGGCGGGCAUGCCUGUUCGAGCGUCAUUUCAACCAUCAAGCCCCCGGCUUGUGUUGGGGACCUGCGGCUGCCGCAGGCCCUGAAAACCAGUGGCGGGCUCGCCAGUCACUCCGAGCGUAGUAAUACAUCUCGCUCAGGGCGUGCUGCGGGUUCCGGCCGUUAAAAGCCUUAUUUUACCCAAGGUUGACCUCGGAUCAGGUAGGAAGACCCGCUGAACUUAAGCAUAUCAAUAAGCGGAGGA